AAAUACAAAAUCCUAUUAAUAAUGUUGAAACUUUAUUAAUGUUACGCGCCCAUCUCUACAGGUUCGCGAGGCCUCAACAUUUUUCCCUUUUUUGUUAAAACCCUAAUAGGAUUUUUCUCUAAGAAACAUGGAUCCCCAAUCUAAAAUUUCGAAGGUCGUCCGUGAAGGUGAAUUAUUCAAAGCUGUUCGAAGGACGCUUUAGAAGCCCUACAACUUGAAAUCGCUGAUUAUUGAGAAGCCAUGAAGCUCGAAAUCAGUUCCUAGUAAAAAUCCCUCAACUUAAAGUGAAUGCACAUUGAGGAAGGUGUACGCAGUAUGGGGUCUUGAGGAGACGAAACAAAUUGUGGCUGGUGUGAAACUAAAGCUCUGGUUGCCUUAAAAGAUGCAAGAAACGCCGCAUCGAACGAAGAGGCAGCGGCGAGGUCGCUGGCUCUGGUGCUCGUUGGAAAACUUCUUGAUGGUUACCUUCCAACGCGAAUCUCAAGCCGGAGAAAUUCUACAAUUUCGCCAUCUCUUCCCGAUUAGGCAAGACUCUUCCACGUAUCUGCCUUUGGCACGUCUGGUAUCCAUUCCUUUGGCACAUGUCAUGAGAGACUUGGGAGCAGUGGGGAAGCAGUUGCUGAUCUGAAACAACUAUUCUCUCUCGCUGAAAAAUUGGUUUUUCAAAUGGCUUCAAUUUGAUGCAUCACUUCUUCGAGGUCUUGCUAACCACACAGAUACUUGAGGUCAGAAUUUCAUGGUUAUUACCAAAUAGAUGUUGAAGUUUACAUCAAUUUAAACAAUGAGUUAGGACCGUUUUUGACCAAAUAGAUGUUUUAAACCCUUUUAUGCUUAAUGUUACUGGAAUAUAAUUUAUGAUUUGUGGUUUGUGUAACAACAUUUUGUAAUAAUUGACAUUGACAAAUAACAACUGGUG
Molecule: long non-coding RNA, 916 nt
Organism: Vigna angularis (adzuki bean)
Lineage: Eukaryota; Viridiplantae; Streptophyta; Magnoliopsida; Fabales; Fabaceae
Exons: 3
Source: RefSeq, a predicted model, not a curated record